This 549-nucleotide ribosomal RNA is filed under the name uncultured bacterium. RNAcentral's name for it is "partial 16S ribosomal RNA". It matches the Rfam family "Bacterial small subunit ribosomal RNA", at positions 355 to 914 of the family's 1533-position model. The record is from RNAcentral.
UGGGGAAUAUUGCACAAUGGGCGCAAGCCUGAUGCAGCGACGCCGCGUGAGGGAUGACGGCCUUCGGGUUGUAAACCUCUUUCAAUAGGGACGAAGCGCAAGUGACGGUACCUAUAGAAGAAGGACCGGCCAACUACGUGCCAGCAGCCGCGGUAAUACGUAGGGUCCGAGCGUUGUCCGGAAUUACUGGGCGUAAAGAGCUCGUAGGUGGUUUGUCGCGUUGUUCGUGAAAACUCACAGCUUAACUGUGGGCGUGCGGGCGAUACGGGCAGACUAGAGUACUGCAGGGGAGACUGGAAUUCCUGGUGUAGCGGUGGAAUGCGCAGAUAUCAGGAGGAACACCGGUGGCGAAGGCGGGUCUCUGGGCAGUAACUGACGCUGAGGAGCGAAAGCGUGGGGAGCGAACAGGAUUAGAUACCCUGGUAGUCCACGCCGUAAACGGUGGGUACUAGGUNUGGGUUUCCUUCCUUGGGAUCCGUGCCGUAGCUAACGCAUUAAGUACCCCGCCUGGGGAGUACGGCCGCAAGGCUAAAACUCAAAGGAAUUGAC